AUUGAACGCUGGCGGCAGGCCUAACACAUGCAGGUCGAGCGGAUGAAGGGAGCUUGCUCCUGGAUUCAGCGGCGGACGGGUGAGUAAUGCCUAGGAAUCUGCCUGGUAGUGGGGGAUAACGUCCGGAAACGGGCGCUAAUACCGCAUACGUCCUGAGGGAGAAAGUGGGGGAUCUUCGGACCUCACGCUAUCAGAUGAGCCUAGGUCGGAUUAGCUAGUUGGUGGGGUAAAGGCCUACCAAGGCGACGAUCCGUAACUGGUCUGAGAGGAUGAUCAGUCACACUGAAACUGAGACACGGUCCAGACUCCUACGGGAGGCAGCAGUGGGGAAUAUUGGACAAUGGGCGAAAGCCUGAUCCAGCCAUGCCGCGUGUGUGAAGAAGGUCUUCGGAUUGUAAAGCACUUUAAGUUGGGAGGAAGGGCAGUAAGUUAAUACCUUGCUGUUUUGACGUUACCAACAGAAUAAGCACCGGCUAACUUCGUG
Molecule: ribosomal RNA, 484 nt
Filed under: uncultured bacterium
Lineage: Bacteria
Description: partial 16S ribosomal RNA
Rfam family: Bacterial small subunit ribosomal RNA
Source: RNAcentral